GUGAUUCUGUCAGAUGUGGUCCAGAGGAGGGCAAUAAUGAUCUUGAUAGGGGGAAUGAUGAGCGUCUCCCUACCAUCUUAGACACCUCAGUCUGACCCAUGUCAUGUGUAUAGCUCCAUACCUGACACACCAGAUGUUUCCAACCAUCAGGACACCAGUUACAGGGAUCCAGAAAACACCCAGCAGGGCAUGACCUACCACCUUCUGCAGAAGAUCUAAUUACACUGCU
Molecule: long non-coding RNA, 229 nt
Organism: Clupea harengus (Atlantic herring)
Lineage: Eukaryota; Metazoa; Chordata; Actinopteri; Clupeiformes; Clupeidae
Exons: 3
Source: RefSeq, a predicted model, not a curated record